UAACAAGGAUUCCCCUAGUAACUGCGAGUGAAGCGGGAAAAGCUCAAAUUUAAAAUCUGGCGGUUUUGGCCGUCCGAGUUGUAGUCUGGAGAAGUGCUUUCCGCGCCGGACCGUGUACAAGUCUCCUGGAACGGAGCGUCAUAGAGGGUGAGAAUCCCGUCUUUGACACGGACUACCGGUGCUUUGUGAUGCGCUCUCAAAGAGUCGAGUUGUUUGGGAAUGCAGCUCAAAAUGGGUGGUGAAUUCCAUCUAAAGCUAAAUAUUGGCGAGAGACCGAUAGCGAACAAGUACCGUGAGGGAAAGAUGAAAAGCACUUUGGAAAGAGAGUUAAACAGUACGUGAAAUUGCUGAAAGGGAAACGAUUGAAGUCAGUCGCGUCGUCCGGAACUCAGCCUUGCCUCGGCUUGGUGCACUUUCCGGUUGACGGGCCAGCAUCGAUUUUGACCGGCGGAUAAAGGUUCGAGGAAUGUGGCACCCUCGGGUGUGUUAUAGCCUCGGAUUGUAUACGUCGGUUGGGAUCGAGGAACUCAGCUUCGGCUUAGGAUGCUGGCGUAAUGGCUUUAAACGAC
Molecule: ribosomal RNA, 569 nt
Filed under: Tyromyces chioneus
Lineage: Eukaryota; Fungi; Basidiomycota; Agaricomycetes; Polyporales; Incrustoporiaceae
Description: eukaryotic LSU rRNA
Rfam family: Eukaryotic large subunit ribosomal RNA
Source: RNAcentral